RNAcentral lists this ribosomal RNA (406 nucleotides) under uncultured bacterium. RNAcentral describes it as "bacterial SSU rRNA". It matches the Rfam family "Bacterial small subunit ribosomal RNA", at positions 29 to 424 of the family's 1533-position model. The record is from RNAcentral.
AAUCAACGCUGGCGGCGUGCCUAACACAUGCAAGUCGAACGCGAAGCCCCGCAAGGGGUAAGUAGAGUGGCAAACGGGUGAGUAACACGUGGGUGACCUGCCUUCGAGUGGGGAUAACGUCCCGAAAGGGACGCUAAUACCGCAUGACAUCCUGCUUUUUAAGAGGUGGAGAUCAAAGCCGGGGAUCGCAAGACCUGGCGCUUGAAGAGGGGCCCGCGCCUGAUUAGCUAGUUGGUGGGGAAUGGCUCACCAAGGCAACGAUCAGUAUCCGGCCUGAGAGGGGCGGACGGACACACUGGGACUGAGACACGGCCCAGACUCCUACGGGAGCAGCAGUGGGAAUCUUGCGCAAUGCGCGAAAGCCGUGACGCAGCAACGCCGCGUGGGGGAAGAAUGCCUUCGGGUU